RNAcentral lists this long non-coding RNA (896 nucleotides) under Carica papaya (papaya). RNAcentral's name for it is "long non-coding RNA (CPAP_LNC008964)". Lineage: Eukaryota; Viridiplantae; Streptophyta; Magnoliopsida; Brassicales; Caricaceae. The record is from RNAcentral.
CUUGGUAGCAGUGGAGGUCACGAUGUUGAAGGAAACGAGCUUCCUCGUCUUGUUUAUGUGUCUCGUGAGAAAAGACCUGGUUUCCUACAUCACAAAAAAGCUGGUGCCAUGAAUGCCCUGGUAAGAAUCAUGAACAUUGUUUUCAAUCUUUUUUUCACACAGAACUCUUUUAACAUUUGUUUACAUAUAUUUUCAGAUUCGAGUUUCCGGGGUACUUACCAACGCUCCUUUCAUGCUGAACUUGGACUGUGACCAUUAUGUGAACAACAGCAAGGCUGCUAGAGAAGCCAUGUGUUUCUUAAUGGACCCUCAGAUAGGAAAAAAGGUCUGCUAUGUUCAGUUCCCUCAAAGAUUUGAUGGUAUUGAUAGGCACGACCGUUAUGCCAACAGAAAUACAGUCUUCUUUGAUGUAAGUCACUGAAAAAUUAUCAAAACAAAUGUUGUUAUGUAAGAAUUAAAGGAAGAGAUUAAGUUGAAAUUUCAUUUAAAUUUGCAGAUUAACAUGAAAGGUCUAGAUGGAAUUCAAGGUCCUGUAUAUGUGGGUACUGGCUGUGUAUUUAGAAGACAAGCUUUAUAUGGCUAUGAACCUCCGAAGGGGCCCAAGCGCCCGAAGAUGGUAAGCUGUGAUUGCUGCCCCUGCUUUGGACGCCGCAAGAAGCAUAGGAAAUAUUCUAAGGGCGAACAAAAUGGAGAAGCCCCUAGCUUUGAAGGUUUGCUUGAUUCUUCAACUUGCUACUUGGACAGUUAAAUAGGGAGGCGCUUAUCUCUUGAAAUUUUCAUAACUAAAUUUACUUACCUCUCUCAAUGAAUAUGUAUGUAUCAGUUGGAAUGGAGGAUGAUAAGGAAUUAUUGAUGUCCCAAAUGAACUUUGAGAAGAAAUUUGGGCAGUCCGCAAU